AACGAACGCUGGCGGCAUGCCUAACACAUGCAAGUCGAACGAGACCUUCGGGUCUAGUGGCGCACGGGUGCGUAACGCGGGGGAACCUGCCCUUAGGUUCGGAAUAACUCCCCGAAAGGGGUGCUAAUACCGGAUAAUGUCUUCGGACCAAAGGUUUAUCGCCUUUGGAUGGGCCCGCGUGGGAUUAGCUAGUUGGUAGGGUAAAAGCCUACCAAGGCGACGAUCCAUAACUGGGAUGAGAGGAUGAUCAGCCACACUGGGACUGGGACACGGCCCAGACUCCUACGGGAGGCAGCAGUGGGGAAUAUUGGACAAUGGGCGAAAGCCUGAUCCAGCAAUGCCGCGUGAGUGAUGAAGGCCUGAGGGUUGUAAAGCUCUUUUACCCGGGAUGAUAAUGACAGUACCGGGAGAAUAAGCUCCGGCUAACUCCGUG
This 433-nucleotide ribosomal RNA is filed under the name uncultured bacterium. RNAcentral describes it as "partial 16S ribosomal RNA". It matches the Rfam family "Bacterial small subunit ribosomal RNA", at positions 29 to 507 of the family's 1533-position model. The record is from RNAcentral.